GAUGAAGAACGUAGCGAAAUGCGAUAAGUAAUGUGAAUUGCAGAAUUCAGUGAAUCAUCGAAUCUUUGAACGCACAUUGCGCCCGCCAGUAUUCUGGCGGGCAUGCCUGUUCGAGCGUCAUUACAACCCUCAGGCCCCCGGGCCUGGCGUUGGGGAUCGGCGGAAGCCCCCUGCGGGCACAACGCCGUCCCCCAAAUACAGUGGCGGUCCCGCCGCAGCUUCCAUUGCGUAGUAGCUAACACCUCGCAACUGGAGAGCGGCGCGGCCACGCCGUAAAACACCCAACUUCUGAAUGUUGACCUCGAAUCAGGUAGGAAUACCCGUUGAACUUAAGCAUAUCAAUAAGCGGAGGA
RNAcentral lists this unclassified non-coding RNA (353 nucleotides) under soil metagenome. RNAcentral describes it as "partial contains 5.8S ribosomal RNA, internal transcribed spacer 2, and large subunit ribosomal RNA". The stretch from base 1 to 120 matches the Rfam family "5.8S ribosomal RNA", at positions 35 to 154 of the family's 154-position model. The record is from RNAcentral.